RNAcentral lists this ribosomal RNA (460 nucleotides) under uncultured bacterium. Its description in RNAcentral is "partial 16S ribosomal RNA". It matches the Rfam family "Bacterial small subunit ribosomal RNA", at positions 338 to 795 of the family's 1533-position model. The record is from RNAcentral.
CCUACGGGAGGCAGCAGUGAGGCAUAUUGGUCAAUGGCCGGAAGGCUGAACCAGCCAUGCCGCGUGAAGGUCAGUGCACUAUGGGCGUUAAACUUCUUUUGUGCGGGAGCAAUAAUGGUCACGUGUGGCCAGACGAGAGUACCGUACGAAUAAGCAUCGGCUAACUCCGUGCCAGCAGCCGCGGUAAUACGGGGGAUGCAAGCGUUAUCCGGAUUUAUUGGGGUUAAAGGGUGCGUAGGCUGGGAGGUAAGUCAGCGGUGAAAUGCCCCCGCUCAACGGGGUGAAGUGCCAUUGAUACUGCCUUGCUGGAAUGCGGAUGCCGUGGGAGGAAUGUGUGGUGUAGCGGUGAAAUGCAUAGAUAUCACACAGAACACCGAUUGCGAAGGCAUCUCACGAAUCCGCGAUUGACGCUGAUGCACGAAAGCGUGGGUAUCAAACAGGAUUAGAUACCCCUGUAGUC